Long non-coding RNA from Scophthalmus maximus (turbot), 478 nucleotides. RefSeq lists it as uncharacterized. The transcript has 2 exons. The record is from RefSeq and is a predicted model, not a curated record. Lineage: Eukaryota; Metazoa; Chordata; Actinopteri; Pleuronectiformes; Scophthalmidae.
CCUCGACUUCCGGUUUGUCGUUUUCUUUCUACAAUAAAACACUCAGGUUUGGCGACAAACUCGACAUGACAUCGGAUGUUUUGUUUCGUUGUGCAUUGAAACAGGUGGUGGAGAUCUGCAAUGACAUCCUGAAGGAGCUCAGCUUCCAAUCCCAAGUGAUGGCAACUUACUGGUGCUACUCACUUCUUGUCUGGAAUUACUUGAUGCACCAUAAAAUGUCCAUCUAUGUGUAUUUGAUAACGGUCUUUAAACAGAAAUAUCCGUAUAACGAGACUAAACAAUUUCACACAAAUCAAACGUCCUGGACUCACAUUGUCAACAAGGUGCCACAUCAGGAGGAAACACCAAGGCCUUUAUUUAGUCUCAAACUUUGCUCGCGUAGAAAGUCACAGAAUAAUACCGCAAGCGCAAAACCAAUCUGUGGUUUGGAAAAAGUGGCAGCCCAACGUGACAGCGUGACAUGUAAUAUUAAUAGAAA